This 279-nucleotide long non-coding RNA is filed under the name Dasypus novemcinctus (nine-banded armadillo). Its description in RNAcentral is "lncRNA (ENSDNOG00000052906.1)". Lineage: Eukaryota; Metazoa; Chordata; Mammalia; Cingulata; Dasypodidae. The record is from RNAcentral.
AGGAAGCGUUGCUGGGAGAAGUCACUAUGGUGACAGGGCGAUCAGGCGGUUUCUUGGUAACUGGUCCCAGGUCUGUGAGAGCAAUCGCCACCGCUUUCCUGGAACUUGAAAUAAAUCUCUUCACUAACUUGUGAAUACAAUCAGGUGGGAUUUUUUCAUGAGCUAGAAGCUGGAGACAUGAGACUGAAGAUAUCGCUUUUAAAAGAACCAAAGCAUAUCCUUUUAAUACCUAUAAACCUUAUUGUGAUUAUCUUACUAUAGUAUUGUUACAAGUUUUUU